Molecule: ribosomal RNA, 253 nt
Filed under: uncultured bacterium
Lineage: Bacteria
Description: partial 16S ribosomal RNA
Rfam family: Bacterial small subunit ribosomal RNA
Source: RNAcentral
UACGUAGGGUGCAAGCGUUGUCCGGAAUUAUUGGGCGUAAAGAGCUCGUAGGCGGUCUGUCGCGUCGGCUGUGAAAACCCGGGGCUCAACCCCGGGCCUGCAGUCGAUACGGGCAGACUAGAGUGCGGUAGGGGAGACUGGAAUUCCUGGUGUAGCGGUGAAAUGCGCAGAUAUCAGGAGGAACACCGGUGGCGAAGGCGGGUCACUGGACCAUUACUGACGCUGAGGCACGAAAGCUAGGGGAGCAAACAGG